RNAcentral lists this ribosomal RNA (492 nucleotides) under uncultured bacterium. RNAcentral's name for it is "partial 16S ribosomal RNA". It matches the Rfam family "Bacterial small subunit ribosomal RNA", at positions 29 to 507 of the family's 1533-position model. The record is from RNAcentral.
AGUGAACGCUGGCGGUAGGCCUAACACAUGCAAGUCGAACGGCAGCACAGUAAGAGCUUGCUCUUACGGGUGGCGAGUGGCGGACGGGCGAGGAAUACAUCGGAAUCUACUUUUUCGUGGGGGAUAACGUAGGGAAACUUACGCUAAUACCGCAUACGAUCUACGGGUGAAAGCAGGGGAUCUUCGGACCUUGCGCGAUUGAAUGAGCCGAUGUCGGAUUAGCUAGUUGGCGGGGUAAAGGCCCACCAAGGCGACGAUCCGUAGCUGGUCUGAGAGGAUGAUCAGCCACACUGGAACUGAGACACGGUCCAGACUCCUACGGGAGGCAGCAGUGGGGAAUAUUGGACAAUGGGCGCAAGCCUGAUCCAGCCAUACCGCGUGAGUGAAGAAGGCCUUCGGGUUGUAAAGCCCUUUUGUUGGGAAAGAAAAGCAGCAGGUUAAUACCCCGCUGUUCUGACGGUACCCAAAGAGUAAGCACCGGCUAACUUCGUG